Molecule: long non-coding RNA, 781 nt
Filed under: Anser cygnoides (Swan goose)
Lineage: Eukaryota; Metazoa; Chordata; Aves; Anseriformes; Anatidae
Description: lncRNA (ENSACDG00005017133.1)
Source: RNAcentral
UAGAGGAUAAGGGACAGGGACAGGGGACAGGGGCCGUACAUGAUAGAGACCAGGACGGGGAGAUAGGGGACAGGCAUGGGGACAGAGGAUCAAGAACAGGGGACGGAGGAGAGAAUCCCGAGACAGGGGACAGGGCCUAGGAGAUAGGGGGCAGGGGUCGGGAAAAGGGUCCGGGGAUGGGGGAUAAGGCACGGGGACGGGGAACGGGGCAUGGGGGUGGCCGGUAGGGCCCAGGGCUGUGGGGUACAGCACCUGUAGGGUGGGGAACCCGGGGAAACGCGCAGUUCCUAUUCUAAACGCGUUUGCUCGCGGUUGUUUUGUCGGAUAAAGCAGACGGCUCCGUGCUCGCCGUACCCAGCCCCUGCGGGGGAUCCGGCCCCAGUUUGCUCCCCCGGCCCUGCUGGGAGCGCUGGUGACAAACCGGGAUGCCGGGGCGGCACCGCGAGGCGUGGAAAAUGAACGCGGGCCCUGCCGGAGCGCCCCCGCGCCGACCGCUCCCACCGAGCAACCCUGCCGCCGGCGAGAUCAAGCAUGCGAAAGUCUCGAUGCGCGAUGCUGUGACGUGCCAUAAAACAUGCGAGUGGGCCGGGAACCAGCUCCAGAUGAAGACGCCUAAAUGUGAUGAUGCUAGCGCUGAAAACUGGGGGUUUUGUGUACUACCAAGAUUAUGGCUGCACACUCAGGAGAAUUUGCUGGGACCCAAGGAGCGCGGUGCAAGGUUUGCUACUGACCUGAUGUGCAUCCCCAGGGAAAUCUCAUUGCUUACUCCAAGUCUCCUUGC